ACUCAAAUGAAUUGACGGGGGCCCGCACAAGCGGUGGAGCAUGUGGUUUAAUUCGAUGCAACGCGAAGAACCUUACCUGCCCUUGACAUCUACGGAAUCCUGCAGAGAUGCGGGAGUGCCGCAAGGAACCGUAAGACAGGUGCUGCAUGGCUGUCGUCAGCUCGUGUUGUGAGAUGUUGGGUUAAGUCCCGUAACGAGCGCAACCCCUGUUCCCAGUUGCCAGCGAGUAAAGUCGGGGACUCUGGGGAGACUGCCGGUGAUGAACCGGAGGAAGGCGGGGACGACGUCAAGUCAUCAUGGCCUUUAUGGGCAGGGCUACACACGUGCUACAAUGGGGCGUACAGAGGGAAGCCAACCCGCGAGGGGGAGCCGAUCCCACAAAGCGCCUCUUAGUCCGGACUGGAGUCUGCAACUCGACUCCACGAAGUCGGAAUCGCUAGUAAUCGCGAAUCAGAAUGUCGCGGUGAAUACGUUCCCGGGCCUUGCACACACCGCCCGU
Molecule: ribosomal RNA, 499 nt
Filed under: uncultured bacterium
Lineage: Bacteria
Description: partial 16S ribosomal RNA
Rfam family: Bacterial small subunit ribosomal RNA
Source: RNAcentral